AUAAGGUAGAGAAAUUGUUGUC
RNAcentral lists this microRNA (22 nucleotides) under Drosophila yakuba. Its description in RNAcentral is "Dya-Mir-962_5p (mature (guide))". The record is from RNAcentral. Lineage: Eukaryota; Metazoa; Arthropoda; Insecta; Diptera; Drosophilidae.